Long non-coding RNA from Acinonyx jubatus (cheetah), 1024 nucleotides. RefSeq lists it as uncharacterized. The transcript has 4 exons. Lineage: Eukaryota; Metazoa; Chordata; Mammalia; Carnivora; Felidae. The record is from RefSeq and is a predicted model, not a curated record.
AGGGCUCCUUCUCCCCUCCUGCUGUAGGGGCAGUCUCAGUUAGAAGCUGGGGCUUUGUAGUUGAGUGUCACCUCCUCCCGCCAGGCGCUCUGCCAGGCUCUUGCCCCUAGUCACUCCCUUUCUGACAUCAUGUGCUCUCUGUACUUGGAACACAGGGUGUGGUGGGCACGCGUUUGUUCUUUGUUCUAUGCAACUCUAAAGAGCUGAGUUGACUUCAGAGUAGAAAAGCUGAGCUCAGCAACACACAUUCAGACGCUCCUUGCCUCUUUGGCUUCUCAGAUUAUGCUCCCCCAGUGCCGGGGAUACAAAUAUGUCUUGCCCAAACUUUUCUUGCUUUUUUUUUUUUUUCUAAGUUAAGCAAAGAGAUUAUGUUCCUCAUUCAUGGAGGUUACUCAAAGCCCUGGCUGGAAACAGUACAUAGUGAGACAGAACACGAGAGGAGGAGGGGCAGAGAGAGAAGGAGACAGAGACUCCAGGCUCCGAGCAAGCGUUCAUCACAGAGCCCAAUGGGGGGCUCAAACCCAUCAUGACCUGAACUGAAGCUGGACUCCUAACCGACUGAACCACCCAGGUUCAGCAAGUAUUAGACUGUCAGAUUAGCUCCCAAGGAAGCUGGAUAGCUGGAAAGGAAGCCACAACUCUCAGCCUCCCAAAUGGGGAAGAGGAGCUGUGGGGUGUAGGACUGGCUUCCUAUUUCCACUGAGCCACAGCAAUGAAACUCGGAGCCUGGGGAGUCUUUUUCCAAGCGAGUGAGGGCUGAAGGACGGGAGGAGCCACAGCCCCUGGUCCCACAACUGAACAGAAACCCCACCACUGGCAAGGCAACCAGGAGCCAGUGGUUUUCUCUCCUUGGGGUUGGGCAGAGAAGCCUAAGAAGCCACCAAAGGCCAGAGAGGAGGAGCCCCACCUCUGUGUUUUCUGAGCAGUUCUGCUUUUAUCUCUCUUAGUUAUCGCUGUUCCAUUUUAAGCUUCAUUUGAAUAAAGAGUUUUGCUGCUAUGUACGUAUACUCAUACACACUCACAC